RNA transcript from Nicotiana tabacum (common tobacco), 3636 nucleotides. It is a transcript of the gene named putative late blight resistance protein homolog R1A-3, with no coding region annotated. NCBI's taxonomy places the organism in Eukaryota, Viridiplantae, Streptophyta, Magnoliopsida, Solanales, Solanaceae. The record is from RefSeq and is a predicted model, not a curated record.
AUUCUACAAUUAUUAAUUGGCAAUUGGCAGCUCUCGUUCGUCUAGCUCAACUUUACUUUCUUAGUCAACUUUCCAAGUAAGAGCAAGAUCAUAGCUGCUGCAGCCAUGGCAGAUGUAGCAGUGAAAUUUCUAGUAGAAAACUUGAUGCAAUUAUUACGCGACAACGCCGGCUUUAUUGUUGGAAUAAAAGAUGAAGUUGAAAAUUUACUACAAGAGCUGAAUGACUUCAAUGCUUUUCUCAGACAAGCAGCUGAAUGCAGGAGUGACAAUGACGUUUUGAAAUCACUUGUAAAGACCAUCAGAAAAGUGGUGAAUGAUGCUGAGGAUUCAAUUGCUAAGUUUGUGAUUGAAGCUAAGAGACAUGAUGAUAAAAAUAAAUUUGCUCAGUGGUUUCAUCUGACUCAUGUUGCUAGAACUAAAGAGGUUGCUGGUGAUAUUGAAUUUGCAAGGGAAAAGGUGAAGAUAAUUCGCCGAGAUAAUACUUAUGCACUUCAAGCUAUUUUUUCUGAUGAUGAUUCCAGCAGAGGCCCUCAGGAGAGGAAGGUCCCUGUAGUAGAGGAAGACGAUGUGGUAGGCUUUGAUGAGGAAGCGAAAACUGUAAUCGAUCGUCUCAUUGGAGGAUCAGAUCAUCUUGAGGUUGUACCAAUCACUGGUAUGCCUGGUCUUGGAAAAACAACUUUGGCAUAUAAGAUUUACAAGGAUCCUAAGGUUGAGUGUGAGUUCUUCCCCUGCAUUUGGGUAAAUGUCUCUCAAUUGUACAAGCGAAGGGACAUAUUUCUGAACAUCGUCAGCAAAUUUACUCGAAACACCAAACAGUACUAUGAUGUACCAGAGGAGGAUUUAGCAGAUGAAGCACGUGAGCUUUUGGGGAAGGGUGGGAAGUAUCUUAUUGUUUUAGACGAUGUGUGGACAAUUGAAGCUUGGGAUCGCAUCAAAAUUGCUUUCCCCAAUAACGGUAAAUGCAGUAGAGUCUUGAUGACCACUAGGAAAUUCAAUGUUGCCAGAUAUUGCAAUGAUAGACCUCAUGAUCUAAAGUUUUUGACUGUGAAUGAAAGUUGGGAGCUACUUGAGAAGAGAGUUUUUCACAAGGAAAAAUGUCCAUCUGAGUUAGAAUUACCUGGAAAAUCUAUAGCCAAAAAAUGUAGGGGCUUACCACUUGCGAUAGUUGUUAUUGCCGGAGCUUUGAUAGGCAAAGGAAAGACGACAAGGGAGUGGGAGCUGGUGGCUGACAGUGUGGGUGAGCACCUCAUAAAUAGAGAUCCAGAGAACUGCAAGAAAUUGGUGCAGAUGAGUUAUGAUCGUUUGCCUUAUGAUUUAAAGGCGUGCUUCUUAUAUUGUGGGGCUUUUCCUGGCGGUUCUGAAAUUUCAGCUCGGAAGUUGAUUUGUUUAUGGAUAGCGGAAGGAUUGAUACAAUACCAAAGACCAUUGACUCUAGAGGAUAUAGCAGAGGACCACUUGAAUGAUCUUGUCAAUAGGAACUUAGUGAUGGUAAUGCAAAGGAGUUCUAGUGGUCAAAUCAAAACAUGUCGUGUUCAUGACAUGUUGCAUGAUUUCUGCAGACAUGAGGCUAUGAUGGAGGAAAAUCUAUUCCAAGAAAUCAAACGAGGGCAAGAACAUUUUUUUCCAGAGAAACAAGAGUUAGCCACUUAUCGUCGCUUGUGUAUUCAUUCAUCUGUUUCUGAAUUCUUGUCAACAAAACCCUUUGGUGAGCAUGUUAGGUCGUUCUUAUGCUUUGCCUCGAAAAAAUUUGAGAUGCCUUUAGGUGAUAUAAUCCCCCGAGCCUUUCCCUUGCUUAGGGUACUAGAUGCGGAAUCAAUCAAGUUCAGUCGUUUUCCUAAAGAAUUCUUCAAAUUAUUCCAUUUGAGGUACAUUGCUUUCUCAACUGACUCGAUUAUGACCAUUCCUACAAACAUUGGGAAUCUUUGGAAUGUACAAACACUUAUAAUUGAAACACAACUGGGUACUCUUGACAUUAAAGCAGACAUUUGGAAUAUGACAAGAUUAAGGCAUGUGUGCACAAAUGCCUCUGCUAUAUUGCCAUCCCCUAAGCACCCCAAGAGCAGAAAGGGGGUGAAUCAUUACCUACAAACACUUUCUACUAUAGCACCUGAAUGUUGCACUGCAGAAAUUUUUACUAGAACUCCUAAUCUCAAGAAAUUAGGUGUUCGUGGAAAAAUAGCUGCACUUCUAGAAGCCAGCAAGGACGGAUCUGGCUCUGGUUUGUUCAGCAACAUAGGUAAGUUAGAGUGCCUCGAAAAUCUGAAGUUGGUAAAUGAUACUCGUCAAAGUGGUAAACAGCUACACCUUCCUCCAGCAUAUAUUUUUCCUCAGAAGCUGAAAAAGCUCACUCUGAUAGAUACUUGGUUAAAAUGGAAAGAUAUGUCUAUAUUAGGUCUAUUAGAGUACCUUGAAGUGCUGAAGUUGAAAGAAAAUGCGUUUAGGGGACAGUCGUGGGAACCAGACGAUGGUGGUUUUCCUCGUCUGCAGGUCCUAUGGAUUCAGAGGACAGAUCUCUCUUCUUGGAAGGCCUCAUCCUUGAACUUUCCACAACUAAAACGCCUUGUUCUUAUAUCAUGUGAUAAGCUUGAGGAACUCCCAGCUGCACUUGCUGAUGUGCAAAGCCUCCAGCUAAUGGAACUUCACUAUACCAGUGAAUCUGCCGCUAAAUCUGCACGAGCAAUACUAAAGAAGAGACUAAGAAAAGAAGAGGGUAGCACUAACAGAUGCGGAUGCAAGCUUUCUGUAUUCCCUCCAGAUCUUGGAUUGUAACUUUAAGAACUGCUUCAUUGGCACUUGACAGGGGUUUUUGCCAAUUCUGAUACUAGAGGCACUCUGCAAUGAAUCAACCUUUCUGCUUGCUACUACAUUUGCCUCACUGGCUUUAACAGAGGUGUCUCCUGCAUUUUGUUUCAAGUAGGAUGAGCUCCAAAAUAAAAACUGCAUUUGGUUUCAAAUAGACUUCCACUGCAGUCUGCCAAAAUGCAAAUCAGCUAGAAGCAUUCUUAUAUAUUGUUGUCUGGAUAUAUUUACACUAAAGCAGAGCCUAAAGAAUUUCAUCGACUAUUGUUCUCUUAUUUCUAUCCCUACUGUUGCCAUUUUGAUUGUGACUUGUGUCGUGAUCUUUCUUUGUUUUUCUUUAAAUCUUUUUUUUUUCUCCUCUCUGGAUUGAGCUCCUGAUGCACAUGGAUGAUUCGCUGCGGAACAAUGAAUACUGUCUCUAUGGUUAUUUUGGAGUGUAAAUAUUUUUCUUUAUGUUGCAACACUAUAAAAUACUUGCAAUGGCGGAUGCAGAAUUUUGAGCAAGUAGUGUCGACAUAUUAUUACACCUCAAUUUGGAUGUGAGUUUGGGCCUAGAGCUGUGAAGGUAUUGAACGACAACCUUUGCAGAAUCUGAUACAGUCAUACCGCAUGAAUUUUGCUUCUCUUUUUUAUGUUGAUUUCAACAAUAAAAGGUCAUAUUCCAGAAAUUUGAUCUGAAUGCAAAACAUCUUGUUAUGGCUGAUGGAUCUAUGAUUGUCAAAUAUAAGUGGAAGGUCAGUUUUACAGAAAUAAAGUUGACAUGAUUGUACUCUUUAGGCACUCUUUAGGCCUUUGUUGAUGAUAUUUUUUGUUAUUAAAAGGACCUUGUUAAUCCUU